Molecule: ribosomal RNA, 254 nt
Filed under: uncultured bacterium
Lineage: Bacteria
Description: partial 16S ribosomal RNA
Rfam family: Bacterial small subunit ribosomal RNA
Source: RNAcentral
UACAGAGGUCCCAAGCGUUGUUCGGAUUCAUUGGGCGUAAAGGGUGCGUAGGUGGCGCUGUAAGUCGGGUGUGAAAUUUCGGAGCUUAACUCCGAAACUGCAUUCGAUACUGCGGUGCUUGAGGACUGGAGAGGAGACUGGAAUUCAUGGUGUAGCAGUGAAAUGCGUAGAGAUCAUGAGGAAGACCAGUGGCGAAGGCGGGUCUCUGGACAGUUCCCUGACACUGAGACACGAAGGCCAGGGGAGCAAACGGG